GAUGAAGAACGUAGCGAAAUGCGAUAAGUAGUGUGAAUUGCAGAAUUCAGUGAAUCAUCGAAUCUUUGAACGCACAUUGCGCCCCUUGGUAUCCCGAGGGGCAUGCCUGUUCGAGCGUCAUUUCACCACUCAAGCAUGGCUUGGUGUUGGGCGACGUCCUCUUUGGGGACGCGCCUCGAAACGCUCGGCGGCGUGGCACCGGCUUUAAGCGUAGCAGAAUCUUUCGCUUUGGAAGUCGGGGCCCCGUCUGCCGGAAGACCUGCUCGCAAGGUUGACCUCGGAUCAGGCAGGGAUACCCGCUGAACUUAAGCAUAUCAAUAAGCGGAGGA
RNAcentral lists this unclassified non-coding RNA (329 nucleotides) under soil metagenome. RNAcentral describes it as "partial contains 5.8S ribosomal RNA, internal transcribed spacer 2, and large subunit ribosomal RNA". The stretch from base 1 to 120 matches the Rfam family "5.8S ribosomal RNA", at positions 35 to 154 of the family's 154-position model. The record is from RNAcentral.